This 257-nucleotide long non-coding RNA is filed under the name Prunus persica (peach). RNAcentral's name for it is "long non-coding RNA (PPER_LNC006225)". Lineage: Eukaryota; Viridiplantae; Streptophyta; Magnoliopsida; Rosales; Rosaceae. The record is from RNAcentral.
GAAAAACCUGGAGGAACAAUUGAGGAGGAGACAGAUGGCAUAUGGGAAGCUUGUGGGACAGAAGGGUCGGGAGAUCCUAUGCAGAGUGCGACCUUGCCUUGUGCGUAUCGUUCAGCGGCUACUUUGGCCUUGUUACGCUCCUUGACUUCAUCCCACCAUUCUGGAUAGCCAUGUAAUUUAAAACAAUCAGUUACAAAGUGAUUCGUGCUAUUGCAAUGAGUACACCUUUCGCCAUUUUGAGGUUUAACUCGUUGUGG